AGCCGACCCUAAUAAAUUUUUGGGCUAAAAGUUUAGUUGAGUUGAGUUGCUGUAAUAAGAUGAAACCUCGUUGGUGCUCAGUGUAUACUGCUUAAUGGAUAAAAAUGUUUUGCACGUGGAUUCUCAUGAAUUUGUGCACCCAUUGUUUUUAAAUAAUGGCCUUAAUUUAAUGUAACUGCCAUUACAUGAAGGAUUUUAGACGUUUAUUACCUUUUUCCCCUGUUAUGUGACAGGGAAAAGAAAAGGUGUAGGUGACAAACAUUAUGCAAUGGCAAUGGCCAUUCGUAGCAUUAAAUCAAAGGUCUUAAAUAUUUCAGACCUUUAUAAAUUCUUGCAGUGAUUAUACCUAAUUUUGUUCUUUUGUCAUAUUUUUCAUGCUAAACAGUUGACUUUAUUACAGAACUAUUAUGAUUUCAAAUAUUAAACUUGACUUUGCUUGCCAAAAAUUAAAUACUAGCUCACAAGACUAUAUUCAGCUUAUUUUAUUUGAAUGAUGUAACUUAAUCCUUCUAUCUUUACAUUUUUCUAUUUGGCAAAUUGCGUUUAGAAUCAUGGCUCCUUUUGGGGUUGACUGGUGACGUGACUAGGUUAGAUGUUACAUCUUUGGAUUUAUGAUGAACUUAACUUGUAAACAGUGUAUAAAGAUUUAUUAGUUGCUUUUACUUGGUUUUAGUCAAAAUUUUGCAAAUCCAUGCAUUUAAUGCAAUUUUUGAUUCCUAGAGUUAAAAAAUUUUUGAAAAAGAAAUUAUUGUGGCUGCAGCUUCAUGUAUGUGCCAUGGUAAUCUUUAUUCAAUUAUAGUAAUUGACUUUUUUAUAAUUAUAAUACGCAUGCACACGCAUAAAUGAUUUAAUCUUGAAGUCACUUGCAUGCAGAGAUAAAAAGUUUGAUUAGAAUGAAUCACAAUAGUUCUGAAGUCGCUGCUUGUCUCUAGUUAGUGCUAUUUUAAAAGAUCCUGCUUUUGAUAUGUCCAGGCAAAGUUUUAGAAAGGGUGGCAUGACUCAAUUUGAUUUUCAAAGCUCUAUCCAGAUGAAUCAUAAUAAUCGUUAAGUUACUGCUUAUUAUUGAUUGGCCUGCUUUUGGAAGAUCCUUCUGUGGUCCUGAUGUUUAGUUAGAAUUUAGAAAAGACUUUGUUUUUUUUGAAAAGGUCUUUCCCACAAUGGAUGUGAAUGGGGCCAGAGAUGUCUUUGGCUCUAACACUGAUAUAAUGGCAUUAAAAUGAAUGCGUACAAUGAAGAAAGCAAGAGGGUAAGAUGAACCUCCUAUGAGGAUUAAGGAGAUGGAGAGGUUUCUCUUUCUUGUAUUAAUUGUCCCCCAAGUAAGGUGUUUUUGGUAGAAUGGGUUCUCCUCAGAAGAUAAUGGAGAUAGAUGCCUUUUCUUAUGUGUUAAAUGGUUUUAACCGGUCUUCUUUUUAGCUAUCUUGGGUUGUGUGCCAAAUUUAAUUUGAUAAAUUUUAUAAGGGGUUUUGUCGAUGUUAAAUAGCCUCCUUUUAUGGGGAUUGGUGUGUGACAUGUUCUUAUUGCCCAGGUACUGUUAAAGGUCAAAUAGGUAAAUAUGGCAAGCUUUCUUUGGCUUCUGCAAUGCUUCUUCAGAACCGGAAGAAUGAUAAAAGAAAUAGUGUUCGAAUAUUUGGCAGCCGCUAAACUUUUGUUGAUGCAACUUAUUAUAGGUUUUGAAUGUUGCUCUUUAUUUUAUUUUUUUGAAAGAAGGUCAUGAGAUGGAAGCAUCUGGAAGAACUUCUGUACUUUGUGAACUUUUUAAUGUAGGAUGCACAUCAUUUUCCAUUUAACUGUAAAAUAAGGACUGGUGUUGUUUUUGUUCUGACAUCGUAAGUUGUUGAUCUGUAUAAUUACUUGGGGCAAAAUUCCCCUGUAGAUUUUUAAACUUAAAACAAUGUUUUUAUUCUUUGCCUUGCAGUACUGAAAUGUGUUGGUCAAGAACAUUUCCAGAAGAAAAAAUGUCGGUUAUUUGUUUUUGUCACCCCAACUGUAAGAAUUUUUAGAGAAGCAAGAACCUUAUGGAGGGAUUGUCACUGUUGAAAUUCUAGCAUCUACUCCUACAGCAGCAGCAGUUAGGUAAGUCCUUACUGUUAAAAAUAUGUGAUUAUUAUUCAAGUAUGAACUGGUCUUUCAGUUCUAUUUUGUUGCACAUUAGAUUCCUGCUGAUAAUGAAAGGAAGAUUGAUAUUAGAUUGCAGUCUUAUCUCUUGAACAAACUGUCAAUUUGCAAAUGAGAAUGAUGGUUGAGGCUGACACUAUUUAGUUUAAUUUUCUGAUGUGGAGUGUCUUCUAAUAAUAACUCACAACUCUUUUUCAUUAGGUUGUAAAGAAUUUUGGAUGCAUCUCGUAUAAACUCGAUCUUAUAUAAGAAUAAGUUUUAAUUUCAAUCCAUCAAACAUCUCCUCUUGAAGAGUUUAAAGUGUUCGUAUGGUUUUGACUUGAUGUAAUCUCUUCUUCAUUAACAUUAAAACAAAGAUGAGA
RNAcentral lists this unclassified non-coding RNA (2477 nucleotides) under Hevea brasiliensis (rubber tree). The record is from RNAcentral. Lineage: Eukaryota; Viridiplantae; Streptophyta; Magnoliopsida; Malpighiales; Euphorbiaceae.